This 835-nucleotide ribosomal RNA is filed under the name uncultured bacterium. Its description in RNAcentral is "bacterial SSU rRNA". It matches the Rfam family "Bacterial small subunit ribosomal RNA", at positions 72 to 918 of the family's 1533-position model. The record is from RNAcentral.
CGUAGCAAUACGUUAGUGGCGGAAGGGAUAGUAAUGUAUGGAUUACCUGCCCUCUGGUCGAGGAUAGCGGUGGGAAACUGCCGGUAAUACUCGAUGAAAUCUCCGGAUCAAAGGUGUGACUCCGCCGGAGGAUGGGUCCAUAUCCUACUAGCUUGUUGGUGUAGUAAUGGUGCACCAAGGCUUAGAUGGGUACCGGGCGUGAGAGCGUGACCCGGAUCACUGGGACUGAGACACUGCUCAGACACCUACGGGUGGCUGCAGUCGAGAAUCUUCGGCAAUGGACGAAAGUCUGACCGAGCGACGCCGCGUGUGUGAUGAAGGCCUUCGGGUUGUAAAACACUUUCGUUUGGGAGGAAAUGUAUGGGGGUGCUCCCCUGUAUUUGACCUAUCUUAGGAAGAAGCUCGGGCUAAGUUCGUGCCAGCAGCCGCGGUAAGACGAACCGAGCAAACGUUAUUCGGAAUCACUGGGCUUAAAGGGUGCGUAGGCUGUCUGCUAAGUGGGAUGUGAAAUCCCUCAGCUCAACUGAGGAAUUGCGUUUCAUACUGGUGGACUUGAGGAAGGUUGAGGUAAGCGGAACUUGCGGUGGAGCGGUGAAAUGCUUUGAUAUUGCAAGGAACAUCGGUGGCGUAGCGGCUUACUGGGCCUUAUCUGACGCUGAGGCACGAAAGCCAGGGUAGCGAACGGGAUUAGAUACCCCCGGUAGUCCUGGCUGUAAACGCUGAGCACUUGGGUCGGAGGACACUCCAUAGUUUUCCGGCCGGGAGAGAAAUUGUUAAGUGCUCGCCUGGGGGGGAAGUAAUGGUCGCAAGGCUGAACUCAAGGGAAUUGACGGGG